AACGAACGCUGGCGGCAUGCCUAACACAUGCAAGUCGAACGAGACCUUCGGGUCUAGUGGCGCACGGGUGCGUAACGCGUGGGAACCUGCCCUUAGGUUCGGAAUAACUCCCCGAAAGGGGUGCUAAUACCGGAUAAUGUCUUCGGACCAAAGAUUUAUCGCCUUUGGAUGGGCCCGCGUUGGAUUAGCUGGUUGGUAGGGUAAAAGCCUACCAAGGCGAGGAUCCAUAGCUGGUCUGAGAGGAUGAUCAGCCACACUGGGACUGAGACGCGGCCCAGACUCCUACGGGAGGCAGCAGUGGGGGAUAUAGGACAAUGGGCGAGAGCAUGAACCAGCAAUGCCGCGUGAGUGAUGAAGGCCUUAGGGUUGUAAAGCUCUUUUACCCGGGAUGAUAAUGACAGUACCGGGAGAAUAAGCUCCGGCUAACUCCGUG
RNAcentral lists this ribosomal RNA (433 nucleotides) under uncultured bacterium. RNAcentral describes it as "partial 16S ribosomal RNA". It matches the Rfam family "Bacterial small subunit ribosomal RNA", at positions 29 to 507 of the family's 1533-position model. The record is from RNAcentral.